RNAcentral lists this ribosomal RNA (428 nucleotides) under uncultured bacterium. RNAcentral describes it as "bacterial SSU rRNA". It matches the Rfam family "Bacterial small subunit ribosomal RNA", at positions 355 to 776 of the family's 1533-position model. The record is from RNAcentral.
UGGGGAAUAUUGGACAAUGGGCGCAAGCCUGAUCCAGCCACGCCGCGUGAGUGAUGAAGGCCUUCGGGUCGUAAAGCUCUGUGGGGAGGGACGAACCGCCGCUGGUUAAUACCCAGCGGCAUGACGGUACCUCCUUAGCAAGCACCGGCUAACUUCGUGCCAGCAGCCGCGGUAAUACGAAGGGUGCAAACGUUGCUCGGAAUCAUUGGGCGUAAAGCGCACGUAGGCGGCUUUGCAAGUCGGACGUGAAAUCCCUCAGCUCAACUGAGGACGUGCAUCCGAAACUGCAAGGCUUGAGUACUGAAGAGGAUCGCGGAAUUCCCGGUGUAGAGGUGAAAUUCGUAGAUAUCGGGAGGAACACCAGUGGCGAAGGCGGCGAUCUGGGCAGAUACUGACGCUGAGGUGCGAAAGCGUGGGGAGCAAACAGG